UACGAAGGGAGCUAGCGUUGUUCGGAAUCACUGGGCGUAAAGCGCACGUAGGCGGAUUUGUCAGUCAGGGGUGAAAUCCCGGGGCUCAACCUCGGAACUGCCUUUGAUACGGCAAGUCUUGAGUUCGAGAGAGGUGGGUGGAAUUCCUAGUGUAGAGGUGAAAUUCGUAGAUAUUAGGAAGAACACCGGUGGCGAAGGCGGCCCACUGGCUCGAUACUGACGCUGAGGUGCGAAAGCGUGGGGAGCAAACAGG
RNAcentral lists this ribosomal RNA (253 nucleotides) under uncultured bacterium. RNAcentral's name for it is "partial 16S ribosomal RNA". It matches the Rfam family "Bacterial small subunit ribosomal RNA", at positions 524 to 776 of the family's 1533-position model. The record is from RNAcentral.